AAAAAGUCAAACCCUGGGUUUUCGUGUCUAACUUUGACUGUCCGUCUUAUAUGAAAUUUUUUUAUAAUUUGUAUUUUUGUUGUUGUUAGAUGAUAAAACAUGAUUAAUAUUUUAUGCGUGACUUGUCUUUUUAAUUUUUUUCAUAAUUUUUUUAAAUAAGACGGACGGUCAAAUGUUGGAUACGGAAACCAGGGUUUGUCUUUUU
This 205-nucleotide microRNA precursor is filed under the name Oryza sativa Japonica Group (Japanese rice). Its description in RNAcentral is "MIR812 microRNA precursor family". It matches the Rfam family "MIR812 microRNA precursor family". The record is from Rfam by way of RNAcentral. Lineage: Eukaryota; Viridiplantae; Streptophyta; Magnoliopsida; Poales; Poaceae.